RNAcentral lists this long non-coding RNA (3735 nucleotides) under Triticum aestivum (bread wheat). Its description in RNAcentral is "long non-coding RNA (TAES_LNC016318)". The record is from RNAcentral. Lineage: Eukaryota; Viridiplantae; Streptophyta; Magnoliopsida; Poales; Poaceae.
UUGCCCUACAGGAUGCCCUGAGAGGAUAAGAACACCCCAGCCCUCUCCCCCAGGAACCCUAGACCCCCCACUACCCCGCUCUCUCGCUCGAUGUGUACGCGCCCGAGCACUGCCGUCUCCGCCGCAUCGCCGUCACCAUGGUCUGGAGCCUCUCGUGCCACCGGUGGAUGUCCAGGAGGACCGCCUCGUCGUCCUCGUCGUCCCCAUGUGCUGGGCUGGAGCGAGGAGCCUCUGCAUCGUCGCCAUCGCCGGACUUCCUUGCCACGGUCACCACCGUUCGCCGUCAGAUGCGCCGCAUCCCGAACCCCUCUAGCGCCUCCCCGACCUCACCGAGCACACCAACCACCUCCCAGUGAGCUCCUCUCUUGACCCCCCCUCUUUCCGCUCGUCGAAUCUGUCGCUGUAGGCCGUCGUAGCCGUUACAUCGGAGCUCUCUAAAAGCUCGCGCCCGUGCCCGCCCGCGCUCACCGUGCCGCGCCCGUGCCCCAUUGGUCGCUCCUGCCUGCGCCUGCCUCUGUCCGCCUGCGCUGCGCCCGUGCCCUGCUGCUGCUCCUGUACUGCAUGCUGCUGCUGCUGAUGUCCACCGCUACCACCGCUCGCUGCCGCCCUUGCCUCCCAACGCCGGCUGGCUUUGGCCACCGUGCGCUGUGUGUGUGUUGUGCGUGUGUGCAGUGUGUGUUUGGUGUGUGCCUGCAGUGUGUGAGUGUUGAGUAUGGUCGUGCCCACCACCGACCGCGUCCACCUCUGGCCUCGCCCGCCUCCAACUGCCGCUGCUCUCUGCUCCGCUGGUUGCUGCUCUCUGCUCGCUGCACUGCUGCUACUCUGCAUAUACUGUUGCAGCUACAAUAACUGAAAGCGCUAGCUAGCUUUUCUAGUUCCACAAUGACUAACCCUCUAGACAGCCCCUAAACUCCGGCAAAACAAUUGCUAACAGGUCUAAGAAAAUAUGGGAAGAUAGUACACUUGACAAGGUUCAAAAUGUUCCAUUUGAUCAAAUUCAAAAGGUGCAAGGAUUAAAUGUAGUGAAAAUGACAACAGUCUAUGUUCUAUUAGCAGAAAAGACGGAAAACAGAGUUAUUGUGGUAGCUACUUUAGGGCAGAAAAUAAACAAGUUGCAGGGAUCUAGCAGAGAUGCAAUUGAGACCAUCUUGUAGAUCACAUAAAGUGAUCAGUAUUGGUAGAAGGGCACUAAGCCAUAGGAUGGACAGAAUAAUAAUUAUAGCCUGUUGAAAACAACCAAGUGAUGUUUAAAACUAAGGAUUUCUCAGACUUAGCAAAUUUUCAGGGAAUUCCAAAUAACUGUUUAAAUCUUCAGAAAUUCGUAGAAAUUCAUCCAUAACUUGGAUGGAAAAACUUUAUACAUCAAAUUUGAUCAGAAAAACGAGACAAACCCGAAUACACUAACCACAAGCCUGACAGGUGUUCCUAACUACCUGACAAACGUACGGAAAUGGGGAAACUUUCCUGCUAAUUUCCUGCUCCGUCGAUAGAACUUAACUUUGCGAUAGACCACUCCGGCUUAGCUCGUAGUUAUGUCUUGUUUUGUGAUUGGUUUUGUUGCCGUGUAUUCAUUUGUUUCUUCUCCCCCCCUUUCUUCCCGGUAGACCCCCGAGACUGCUUACGAUGCCCUGGAGUUUGACUACACAGCUGACGACACUGCCUUUGCCGCCAUGCUAUCAGGCAAGCACCCCCCCCCCUUUUGAACAUUCCAAUAUCACCUAUUCUCUUCUCUCUUAUGCUUGCAUUAGAAAUUGCUGCUGCUACUGCUUUACCUAUUCUAAUGCAUAACCUGAUCUUGUAACCUGCUAUUGUUACCUACCUGUUUAUCCUAAACUGCUUAGUAUAGGCUGGUUAGAGACCCAUCAGAGACCCCAUGUUGACCGAACUACCCAGCUGGAUUAUCAUAAAACCCGAUCAACGGGAUUGAAGACCAGGCCCCGGCACCGCUCAUCACUUUCCCCUUAGUUGCUCGACACUACAGGGUUACUAUCGACUGCCGAGGGUGAUACCUCUUUAGCACUUCUGAUGUUAACCUUGUAGGUUAGUUCAUCGGUUAUGGUCAUCUAGGGUGAUUCCUCCUUCUCCACUCCCAGUAACGACACUGUCGUGCAACUCCACAAGAGUGGACCUCGAGGGUGAUUCCUCCUUUGUUCACCUUGACGAUAACAUCAGGUGGAAUUCCAUCGAGGGUGAUUCUUCAGGGUUCCCCUUAGUGUUAGUCACAUAGUUACUAUGGUUACUAUGAAUUUACACUGAACCAUGUUACUAAAGACGGGUUGACCAUGAGGGGUACCCGCGCGAGCUUAAUUGCGAGUGAUGUGGAGACAGGUUGACCUGGAGGGUACUCGAGAGUUGAAUACAAGGCGUGGUCGGGCAUUCUUAGCCCUUGCCGCAAGUCCUCGAGACGGGGCGACGGGGUCACAUCUUUCGUGAGUCUCUGCUCGUGACCGCACUACCAACACACUAACAGUUUGGAUAUUUGAUCCGAGGGGCCUCUGGCCUGAAAGCACUAACCAUCACGUCGACAUAAUAUGGGCAUUCUGCAUUGUAUGCAUCAGCCGAAGCUUAUUAGACGUCAGCGACUGAGCGGCGCGCGCCAGGUUGGACUGGAACGCCUCGCCUUGUAUAAGGGGGGCUAGGUCUGCUCACCGGUCGAAUUCGCAACAUGCAGGAGUGCAAAGGGCGAUGGGCUUGAGACCCCUGCACGCUUAGGAUGUAGACUGGCAUGUUGACCUCUCUAUUAGGCCUAGGUUGGGUUGCGGUGUAUCGUUUGGCCGAGGCCGGGCAUGACCCAGGAAAGUGUGUCCAUCCGGAGUUAAUCGAGUGUGGUGGGUAAGUUGGUGCACCCCUGCAGGGAAGAAAACAUCUAUCGAUAGCCUGUCCUACGGUAAUGGACACUCGGACUUGUAUCCCGAUCGAUACAACUAGAACUGGAUACUCGAGAUGAGAAAUGGAUAGUAUGGCUCUGGGAUUGCUUUCUCGCAGGGAGUCGAGGAAGGAUCUCUGGGCGAAGUUGAUGGCACUACUACUACUUUACUAUAUGCUAGUCUGCACUCUUCUAAUGUUGCAAGACCGCUGAAGAUGCUGAAGAUGCUAGUCUUCGAUAGGACUAGGAUCUCCCCUCUAUUAUGGCAUUUCUGCAGCCCAGUCCACAUACACAGCCUUCCAUUGAUAAUGUUGCAUAUGUAGUGUAGAUCCUUGCUUGCUGAGUAGUUCGGAUGAGUACUCACGUUUGCUUUGCUCCCUUUUUUCCCCAUAUUGGUUUGACGCAACCAGAUGACUGAGCCCCUGAGACCGCUAGCACUACCGACGACUACUACUACCCCGAGGGUGCCUACUACCAUGUGACAGACGCCGAUGACCAGGAGUAGUUAGGAGGCUCCCAGACAAGAGGCCUUGCCUUUUUGAUCGUUGUUACUUUUGUGCUAGCCUUCUUAAGGCAAACUUGUUUAACUUAUGUCUGUACUCAGAUAAUGUUGCUUCCGCUGACUCGUUUGUAUUCGAGCUUAUGUAUUCGAGCCCUCGAGGCCCCUGGCUUGUAAUAUAAAGCUUGUAUUAUUUUAAUUUGUGUCUAGAGUUGUGUUGUGAUAUCUUCCCGUGAGUCCCUGAUCUUGAUCGUACACAUUUGUGUGUAUGAUUAGUGUACGAUUGGAUCGGGGGCGUCACAAUCAUCUACACUUUUGUAAUCACAAACUACAUUUUUCAUUUGUGCGCAUAAGUUUUAUAUCAUCUUGG